Molecule: long non-coding RNA, 601 nt
Organism: Chlorocebus sabaeus (green monkey)
Lineage: Eukaryota; Metazoa; Chordata; Mammalia; Primates; Cercopithecidae
Source: RefSeq, a predicted model, not a curated record
GCGGGAGCUCCCGCAUCCCUGUUCCCGCGACGCAGCUCCUCUUCCCAGCCUCCUUGGCUCGUCUCUGGAGCCUCUUCCUCCUCCCGCUUCCGAGUGGGCGGGUCCCCGCUGGAGCCUGAGUCGCACUGCAGACCUAUCCUGCGGCCUGAUGGGGUGAAAAAACUCCCAGUUUCCCAUUAGACUCCCUGGCAGCCUGGGCAACCCGACGGUUCCAGGGACCCGCUGGGGCAAGUGACGGCCGAACCUUUGGGCGCCAGGCUGGCAGCAGACGUGAUAGAGGGACAAGAAGGGUACCUGCGUCACGGGAUGUUUUGAGAUUAACUGAGAUGCUGCAUGCAAGUCACCACAGGGCAUGUGAGAUGGCGUCUUUCUACAUUGCCCAGGCUGGUCUGGAACUCCUGACCUCAAGCAAUCCGCCUGCCUCGGCCUGCCAAAGUGCUAGGACUACAGGAGUGAGCCACCAUGCCCAGCUGAGUGUGAUGUCUUUUUUACUGUGUCAACUUGGCUAGACUGAAGGCCCCAAUUAUUCCAGCACUAAACCGGAUGUUUUGGUGAAGUUGUUUUGUAGAUGCAAAUAAAGUCCAUUAUCAGUUGACUUUAC